Molecule: ribosomal RNA, 497 nt
Filed under: uncultured bacterium
Lineage: Bacteria
Description: partial 16S ribosomal RNA
Rfam family: Bacterial small subunit ribosomal RNA
Source: RNAcentral
GAUGAACGCUGGCGGCGUGCCUAAUACAUGCCAGUCGAGCGAACAGAUGAGGAGCUUGCUCCUCUGACGUUAGCGGCGGACGGGUGAGUAACACGUGGAUAACCUACCUAUAAGACUGGGAUAACUUCGGGAAACCGGAGCUAAUACCGGAUAAUAUAUUGAACCGCAUGGCUCAAUAGUGAAAGACGGUUUUGCUGUCACUUAUAGAUGGAUCCGCGCCGCAUUAGCUAGUUGGUAAGGUAACGGCUUACCAAGGCAACGAUGCGUAGCCGACCUGAGAGGGUGAUCGGCCACACUGGAACUGAGACACGGUCCAGACUCCUACGGGAGGCAGCAGUAGGGAAUCUUCCGCAAUGGGCGAAAGCCUGACGGAGCAACGCCGCGUGAGUGAUGAAGGUCUUCGGAUCGUAAAACUCUGUUAUUAGGGAAGAACAAAUGUGUAAGUAACUAUGCACGUCUUGACGGUACCUAAUCAGAAAGCCACGGCUAACUACGUG